AUAACACCUGGAAACAGAUGCUAAUACCGGAAUAACAACAGAUGAUGCCUAUCAACUGUUUAAAAGAUGGUUCUGCUAUCNACUCUUGGAUGGACCUGCGGUGCAUUAGCUAGUUGGUAGGGUAACGGCCUACCAAGGCGAUGAUGCAUAGCCGAGUUGAGAGACUGAUCGGCCACAUUGGGACUGAGACACGGCCCAAACUCCUACGGGAGGCAGCAGAC
Molecule: ribosomal RNA, 221 nt
Filed under: uncultured Lactobacillus sp.
Lineage: Bacteria; Bacillati; Bacillota; Bacilli; Lactobacillales; Lactobacillaceae
Description: partial 16S ribosomal RNA
Rfam family: Bacterial small subunit ribosomal RNA
Source: RNAcentral